RNAcentral lists this ribosomal RNA (253 nucleotides) under uncultured prokaryote. Its description in RNAcentral is "partial 16S ribosomal RNA". It matches the Rfam family "Bacterial small subunit ribosomal RNA", at positions 525 to 777 of the family's 1533-position model. The record is from RNAcentral.
ACAGAGGGUGCAAGCGUUAAUCGGAUUUACUGGGCGUAAAGCGUGUGUAGGUGGCUUCCUAAGUCGGUUGUGAAAUCCCUGGGCUUAACCUGGGAAUUGCAUUCGAUACUGUCUGACUCGAGUCUGGGAGAGGGAAGCGGAAUUCCGGGUGUAGCGGUGAAAUGCGUAGAUAUCCGGAGGAACAUCAGUGGCGAAGGCGGCUUCCUGGCCUAAGACUGACGCUGAGGUACGAAAGCGUGGGGAGCAAACAGGA